GACGAACGCUGGCGGCGUGCUUAACACAUGCAAGUCGAACGGAAAGGCCUGCUUUCCCUUGUGGAUUGCGGGUACUCGAGUGGCGAACGGGUGAGUAACACGUGAGUGAUCUGCCCCCAACUUGGGUAUAAGCCUGGGAAACUGGGUCUAAUUCCCGAUAGGACUGCAGGGUGGUGCCUGUGGUGGAAAACGAUCUUCUAGUGGUUGGGGAUGAGCUCGCGGCCUAUCAGCUUGUUGGUGGGGUAAUGGCCUACCAAGGCGGCGACGGGUAGCCGGCCUGAGAGGGUGGACGGCGACAUUGGGACUGAGAUACGGCCCAGACGCCUACGGGAGGCAGCAGUGGGGAAUAUUGCACAAUGGGCGGGAGCCUGAUGCGGCGACGCCGCGUGGGGGAUGACGGCCUUCGGGUUGUAAACUCCUUGCGACCGCGAGGAAGCCACCUGGUUGGGAGGGUGGUGACGGUAGUGGUAGAAGAAGCACCGGCUAACUACGUG
Molecule: ribosomal RNA, 494 nt
Filed under: uncultured bacterium
Lineage: Bacteria
Description: partial 16S ribosomal RNA
Rfam family: Bacterial small subunit ribosomal RNA
Source: RNAcentral